Molecule: ribosomal RNA, 523 nt
Filed under: uncultured bacterium
Lineage: Bacteria
Description: bacterial SSU rRNA
Rfam family: Bacterial small subunit ribosomal RNA
Source: RNAcentral
AGAGUUUGAUCAUGGCUCAGGACGAACGCUGGCGGCGUGCUUAAUACAUGCAAGUCGAGCGAGGUUACUGUUUUGGAUCCCUUCGGGGUGAAGAAGCUUUAACCUAGCGGCGGACGGGUGAGUAACGCGUGGGUAACCUACCCCAAAGUCCGGGAUAACAGCGGGAAACCGCUGCUAAUACCGGAUGCCUUUACCUUGGGGCAUCUUGAGGUAAAGAAAGGCAACGCUUUGGGAUGGGCCCGCGUCCCAUUAGCUAGUUGGUGAGGUAACGGCUCACCAAGGCGACGAUGGGUAGCCGGCCUGAGAGGGUGGACGGCCACACUGGGACUGAGACACGGCCCAGACUCCUACGGGAGGCAGCAGUAGGGAAUAUUGCGCAAUGGACGGAAGUCUGACGCAGCGACGCCGCGUGAGCGAUGAAGGUCUUCGGAUCGUAAAGCUCUGUCCUUGGGGAAGAAGGCGAAAGCUUGACGGUACCCAAGAAGAAAGCCCCGGCUAACUACGUGCCAGCAGCCGCGGUAAU